This 207-nucleotide ribosomal RNA is filed under the name uncultured bacterium. Its description in RNAcentral is "partial 16S ribosomal RNA". It matches the Rfam family "Bacterial small subunit ribosomal RNA", at positions 524 to 720 of the family's 1533-position model. The record is from RNAcentral.
UACGGAGGGGAGCUAGCGUUGUUCGGAAUUACUGGGCGUAAAGCGUGCGCAGGCGGUCUGUUAAGACCGGAUGUGAAAUCCCCGGGCUUACCUCGGGAACUGCAUUGGUGUACUGGCAGGCUUUGAGUGUGGCAGGAGGGAGGUUGAGAAUUCCACGUAGUAAGCAGUGAAAUGCGUAGAGAAUGUGGAGGAAUACCGAUGGCGAAG